CCGGAAUAGCUCAGCUGGAAAAGCAAAGGACUGA
RNAcentral lists this transfer RNA (34 nucleotides) under Aquilaria sinensis. RNAcentral describes it as "partial tRNA-Phe". The record is from RNAcentral. Lineage: Eukaryota; Viridiplantae; Streptophyta; Magnoliopsida; Malvales; Thymelaeaceae.